Molecule: non-coding RNA, 67 nt
Organism: Triticum aestivum (bread wheat)
Lineage: Eukaryota; Viridiplantae; Streptophyta; Magnoliopsida; Poales; Poaceae
Source: Rfam
CCAUUGCUCAGUUGGUAAAGCAUAAAGCUCUUAACCUUCUGGACAUGGGUUCAAGCCCCAUGAUGGG